GCAUAUCAAUAAGCGGAGG
This 19-nucleotide non-coding RNA is filed under the name Arabidopsis thaliana (thale cress). Lineage: Eukaryota; Viridiplantae; Streptophyta; Magnoliopsida; Brassicales; Brassicaceae. The record is from RNAcentral. RNAcentral also lists the same sequence under 3 other names.